Micropterus salmoides (largemouth bass) is the source of this 1316-nucleotide long non-coding RNA. RefSeq lists it as uncharacterized. Lineage: Eukaryota; Metazoa; Chordata; Actinopteri; Centrarchiformes; Centrarchidae. The transcript is spliced from 2 exons. The record is from RefSeq and is a predicted model, not a curated record.
AUGGAGGCUUUCAGAAACAUAGACCUUGAUAAAGACAAUAGUCUCACGAAGGCCGAGGUAAAGGAAUACUUGAAAGCGGACUACGAAAAAAGUGGAAAGCCACGUGAUGACGCUUUCUAUGAGAAGAUUAUGGCUGACAUAUUCCGCAAGAAUGACCAAGACAGAGACGGACUGAUCAGUGCAAAGGAGUAUAAUAUUUAUGAACAUGAUGAGCUCUAGUGUUUGAUCUUGGUAAUUAUUUUAGUUUCUGUACUUUGAUCAAUUAGAAAGAAACCAUGAAUAGGUAAGGGGAAAAUCCACCAUCAGAUGUACAUACACUGGGGAUUUUCAGUACUUUCUGGGUGUUAUUUUGUGAUGAAACUUUACUUUUCUGGUCUACUCAUGUUACUCCAACAUGCCUUGUCACUUCUACUUCAGUUAGUGGUUUCCUACUUUCCGUAGAAUGCCUUUUGAGAGUCCCUUGGCACAAAGCUACUGUGGAAGUAGAAAAGUGUAUGUCUUCCUCUCUGUGGUUGGUUUCACCCCAUACGAUUUUCCAGCACCAGUUCAAUGGUGCAAAUAUAGAGAGAAGUCUUGGCUCUUUGAGUCACUGACUCCAAAACCUUACAUCGUUAUUGGUAAUCUUUUUGAAAUGGUUUUGCUAUGAAAUGAAUAGAUUCUGGGUGGAUUUUUCCUUUUUAAAAUGCAGACAGGACAUAGAUGUGUUGAGGUAUUUAAACAGCUUUCCCAGACAGAAAACUAGCAUCUACAUGUUUUGUUUUUUAAAGUUAAAACUGUGCAAGAAAGAACAUCUCCAACGCCUGUGAAAACCUUUGAUUUUUGCGCAAAUACCACUCAAUUUUAGCAUUUGAAUUUUUUUAUUUGUGUCUUAAGUUUUGUCUUUUGGUGAACAUUGAUUCAAUUUGCAGCACAAAGAAGAAACCACAGGAUUGCACCAUGCUGUGGAAUCAGGGGCUUAGAGGUAACAUGUGAGAUUUUAAAAGGUUUAACCAGAAAUGAGAAAGGAACUUAAAUUGUUCAACCUUCCUGUGAACAUCCUGCCCUCUAAUCUGCAUCAUCAUAUUGAAAAGGUGACUUCAAACACUAUUCUUUUCUUCUUAAAUCCAAUUUAAACCUAAAGCCUUCAAGAAAUCAGAUGUGGCAGUGUUGGAGAAGAGAAGUUUCAACAUGGUUGAUGAUAAAAUGCACAUGUAUGUCAGACAUGUUUACAAGUUUUGUGUAAGUCUUUAUGUGGUCAAACUCAUGACUAUCAUUGUAUCCAGCUGAACAAUUGUUUUUACUAAUGCAAUAAAUAAAUCAGUGUGUGUGGAAAACUC